Molecule: non-coding RNA, 1732 nt
Organism: Vigna unguiculata (cowpea)
Lineage: Eukaryota; Viridiplantae; Streptophyta; Magnoliopsida; Fabales; Fabaceae
Source: RefSeq, a predicted model, not a curated record
UAUAUAAUGGGAGGAAUCACUGGGUUUCCAACGUGGAAGUGCAGAAGAAGCAGAGAGAAAGAGAGGAAGAAGGGAGGAAGAAAAAGGGGAAACACAAAGAAAAAGAGGAAGAUCGAUCGAGAUCUCCCUUGCGUUGUUCACAGUUGAAGAAAUUGUAGAGGAGAACGAGAGAAACCCGACGGUAUCACAAGUUUCAGGGUUUCAGCACAUCUAAUUUUUUUUCGUGGAGGUUGAAGAAGAUCGAAGUGGUUUCCAGUUGCUUCAGUUAUUCCUCUGGGUGGUGGAGUCUUAGCGUGUUUAAAAAGUAUUGACAAUUCAAGAUGCCAAAGGAGAGAAGGGAUAGGUCUUUGUCACAUGAAAGUAGCAGAGCAUCACCUUACCCGAGCAGCUCUAGUCGAGUUGGAAGAUCUGCUCUUAGAGAGUCAGAGGAAAACGUUAAAGAAUGGGAAGAUGCCAGGUGUCCAGUGUGCAUGGAACACCCUCACAAUGCUGUUCUCCUUAUAUGUUCAUCCCAUGAGAAAGGAUGCCGCCCUUACAUGUGUAACACUAGCUAUCGCCACUCAAACUGUCUUGAUCAGUUCCGCAAGUCAUUUUCUGACACCACACCAACCAUUGCUCAAGUAGAAAGUCAAAUUUCUAACACUGUCGAUAGUAUAAUUGAGGUGCCAGAAGACAGAAAUGAGGAGGUGACUGUCCAAAGUGGAAUUAAUGUACCGGAAGACAUAAGUGAGGUGACUGUCCAAAGUAGAAUUGAUGUGCCUGAAGACAGAAGUGAAGGUUUGGUUACAAUGCAAGCCUUAUCCUGUGACAAUGAGGCAAAGUCAAAGUUAGUAUGCCCUCUAUGUAGAGGGCAAAUAAAAGAGUGGAAAGUAGUGGAGGCGGCUCGGCAUUUUAUGAAUGAAAAAUCAAGGAGCUGUUCUUGUGAGACUUGCAACUUCAGUGGCACAUACCCAGAUCUUAGAAAGCAUGCAAGACUUGAACAUCCUCUAGAGCGCCCAUCUGCAGUAGACCCAGAACGUCAGCGUAACUGGAGGAGGUUAGAGCGGCAGAGGGAUCUCGGUGACCUCCUUAGCACACUUCAAACUUCAUUUGGGGUUGAUGAUCCCAUAGAUGAUGGUGGUCUGCUAGCUGUGUUUUUCCUCAUUCUUCAACCUGCUUCUGUGUCCAGGGGCACCACACUCCAGAUGCGAAUAAGAAGACCAGCGACACUCUGGGGGAAAAUUAUGAUGGACAGUCUGGAUCUGAUGAUGCAAACGAAUCUUCAGAUGGAGGCUCUGAUAAUAGACCUCAUCGUGGUCGGGGACACCGGACUCCUCCGCCGUGACUUGCAAAUCAUUCAUCAUACUGGCUUGCUCUUCUCUCACCCUUUUCUGCCUUUCCAGAUGCUCAUCAAUACACGUCGGAUAUUGAUUGUUUAUCAGUAUAUUUAAUAUUUCUGCCAUCCUUCCAAAACGAUUGAGCUUGAAAUAAAAUUUACCGUUGUGCCAGUGCCUUUCUUUACUAGCCCAUCUUGCUUCUUUCUUCUUGCUUCUUGCUCCAUGCAAGGCUAAAAAAGAAGAGAAAAACAUAGUGUGAGGUGUGAAGUGGAACCUGGCUUUUAAGUCUGAGCAGGAACAAGUUUGUUUAGUUCAACAAUGGCUGGCUUUCUAGAGUAGCAGAAGAGAAUUUCAGCGAGUAUUUUUUAUUUUUCUAAAUUAUGAAAGAUUUAUGAUGAAUGUCUUUUGGGUAUAAA